This 328-nucleotide ribosomal RNA is filed under the name uncultured eukaryote. RNAcentral describes it as "partial 18S ribosomal RNA". It matches the Rfam family "Eukaryotic small subunit ribosomal RNA", at positions 1470 to 1796 of the family's 1831-position model. The record is from RNAcentral.
CCCUUAGAUGUCCUGGGCCGCGCGCGCGCUACACUGAUGCAUGCAACGAGUUUAUAACCUUGGCCUGAAAGGUCUGGGUAAUCUUUUGAACGUGCAUCGUGAUAGGGAUAGAUUAUUGCAAUUGUUAAUCUUGAACGAGGAAUUCCUAGUAAACGCGAGUCAUCAGCUCGCAUUGAUUACGUCCCUGCCCUUUGUACACACCGCCCGUCGCACCUACCGAUUGAAUGGUUCGGUGAAGAUCUCGGACUUCGAUAUUUAUUCUUUAUUGAGUUUAUAUUGUGGGAAGUUAUCUAAACCUCAUCAUUUAGAGGAAGGUGAAGUCGUAACA